Molecule: ribosomal RNA, 250 nt
Filed under: uncultured bacterium
Lineage: Bacteria
Description: partial 16S ribosomal RNA
Rfam family: Bacterial small subunit ribosomal RNA
Source: RNAcentral
UACGGGGGGGCAAGCGUUGUUCGGAAUUACUGGGCGUAAAGGGCUCGUAGGUGGCCAACUAAGUCAGACGUGAAAUCCCUCAGCUUAACUGGGGAACUGCGUCUGAUACUGGAUGGCUUGAGUUUGGAGAGGGAUGCGGAAUUCCAGGUGUAGCGGUGAAAUGCGUAGAUAUCUGGAGGAACACCGGUGGCGAAGGCGGCGUCCUGGACCAACACUGACACUGAGGAGCGAAAGCCAGGGAGCAAACGGG